RNAcentral lists this unclassified non-coding RNA (251 nucleotides) under soil metagenome. Its description in RNAcentral is "partial internal transcribed spacer 1". The record is from RNAcentral.
CAAAUCCAUUUUUUUUUUUUCUCUUUAAGGUGCCAGCUGAGCGGGUUGGCGAGGUCUCACAACCUUGUCCUUCUGCUCGCUGCCCUUAAGGGAAAAAAAAAACCAUAUACCUCAAAAACCCCUUUGUGCACUGUUGAAAAGGCGUCAACGUGGGGAGUACCCCCGUUAGUCGUCUACCCAUUUCAAAACGCUUUUAUUUUUGUUUUGCCUAAAGGUUUUUGAACCCAAGUGAUUUAAAUAAAUCUAAAAUA